Molecule: ribosomal RNA, 1491 nt
Filed under: uncultured bacterium
Lineage: Bacteria
Description: bacterial SSU rRNA
Rfam family: Bacterial small subunit ribosomal RNA
Source: RNAcentral
UUGAACGCUGGCGGCAGGCCUAACACAUGCAAGUCGAGCGGAAACGGCAGUAUUGAAGCUUCGGUGGAUUUACUGGACGUCGAGCGGCGGACGGGUGAGUAACGGCUGGGAACCUGCCCUGACGAGGGGGAUAACCGUUGGAAACGACGGCUAAUACCGCAUAAUGUCUUGAUUCGUUAGAGUCAGGACCAAAGGUGGCCUCUACAUGUAAGCUAUCGCGUUGGGAUGGGCCCAGUUAGGAUUAGCUAGUUGGUAAGGUAAUGGCUUACCAAGGCAACGAUCCUUAGCUGGUUUGAGAGGAUGAUCAGCCACACUGGGACUGAGACACGGCCCAGACUCCUACGGGAGGCAGCAGUGGGGAAUAUUGCACAAUGGGGGAGACCCUGAUGCAGCCAUGCCGCGUGUGUGAAGAAGGCCUUCGGGUUGUAAAGCACUUUCAGCAGUGAGGAAGGUCGUGUACUUAAUACGUGCACGGCUUGACGUUAGCUGCAGAAGAAGCACCGGCUAACUCCGUGCCAGCAGCCGCGGUAAUACGGAGGGUGCGAGCGUUAAUCGGAAUUACUGGGCGUAAAGCGCAUGCAGGCGGUUUGUUAAGUCAGAUGUGAAAGCCCGGGGCUCAACCUCGGAACCGCAUUUGAAACUGGCAGGCUAGAGUCUUGUAGAGGGGGGUAGAAUUUCAGGUGUAGCGGUGAAAUGCGUAGAGAUCUGAAGGAAUACCAGUGGCGAAGGCGGCCCCCUGGACAAAGACUGACGCUCAGAUGCGAAAGCGUGGGUAGCAAACAGGAUUAGAUACCCUGGUAGUCCACGCCGUAAACGCUGUCUACUUGGAGGUUGAGGUUUUAGACUUUGGCUUUCGGCGCUAACGCAUUAAGUAGACCGCCUGGGGAGUACGGCCGCAAGGUUAAAACUCAAAUGAAUUGACGGGGGCCCGCACAAGCGGUGGAGCAUGUGGUUUAAUUCGAUGCAACGCGAAGAACCUUACCUACUCUUGACAUCCAGCGAAGCCUUUAGAGAUAGAGGCGUGCCUUCGGGAGCGCUGAGACAGGUGCUGCAUGGCUGUCGUCAGCUCGUGUUGUGAAAUGUUGGGUUAAGUCCCGCAACGAGCGCAACCCUUAUCCUUGUUUGCCAGCACAUAAUGGUGGGAACUCCAGGGAGACUGCCGGUGAUAAACCGGAGGAAGGUGGGGACGACGUCAAGUCAUCAUGGCCCUUACGAGUAGGGCUACACACGUGCUACAAUGGCAGAUACAGAGGGCAGCGAGACAGCGAUGUUUAGCGAAUCCCUUAAAGUUUGUCGUAGUCCGGAUUGGAGUCUGCAAUUCGACUCCAUGAAGUCGGAAUCGCUAGUAAUCGUGGAUCAGAAUGCCACGGUGAAUACGUUCCCGGGCCUUGUACACACCGCCCGUCACACCAUGGGAGUGGGCUGCACCAGAAGUAGAUAGCUUAACCUUCGGGAGGGCGUUUACCACGGUGUGGUUCAUGACUGGGGUGA